AGAGGCAGCAAGAAAAAUGAGGGACUUUCAGGGGCAGCUGUGUUUUACUAACCCAGUCAUAAUGCCCCUAAAAAUCCUUAUUGUUCUUGCAAUGUUCA
MicroRNA precursor from Anolis carolinensis (green anole), 98 nucleotides. Lineage: Eukaryota; Metazoa; Chordata; Lepidosauria; Squamata; Anolidae. The record is from Ensembl.